Molecule: non-coding RNA, 107 nt
Filed under: human gut metagenome
Also listed under: 1 other name
Description: THF riboswitch
Rfam family: THF (Tetrahydrofolate) riboswitch aptamer
About the family: THF riboswitch presents a pseudoknot that joins P1-P2 and the loop of P3 and two THF binding.
Source: RNAcentral
AGAGUAGCUUUGGCGCGUUAAGUGCCGCCGGACGGGACGUUGUCGGCGGACGAAAGGGCGGGCCCGCGAUUGUGCGGGCGUCGUUCUGCGGCGACCACGGCGCGUCC